GGGAUUGCCUCAGUAGCGGCGAGUGAGCGGCAAAAGCUCAAAUUUGAAAUCUGGCGUCUUUGGCGUCCGAGUUGUAAUUUGAAGAAGGUAUCUUUGGGCCCGGCUCUUGUCUAUGUUCCUUGGAACAGGACGUCACAGAGGGUGAGAAUCCCGUGCGAUGAGAUGACCCGGGUCUGUGUAAAGUUCCUUCGACGAGUCGAGUUGUUUGGGAAUGCAGCUCUAAGUGGGUGGUAAAUUCCAUCUAAAGCUAAAUAUUGGCGAGAGACCGAUAGCGAACAAGUACAGUGAUGGAAAGAUGAAAAGAACUUUGAAAAGAGAGUGAAAAAGUACGUGAAAUUGUUGAAAGGGAAGGGCUUGAGAUCAGACUUGGUAUUUUGCAUGUUGCUCUCUCGGGGGCGGCCGCUGCGGUUUACCGGGCCAGCAUCGGUUUGGAGCGGCAGGAUAAUGGCGGAGGAAUGUGGCACGGCUUCUGCUGUGUGUUAUAGCCUCUGACGAUACUGCCAGCCUAGACCGAGGACUGCGGUUUUUACCUAGGAUGUUGGCAUAAUGAUCUUAAGUCGCCCGUC
RNAcentral lists this ribosomal RNA (566 nucleotides) under Candida albicans. Its description in RNAcentral is "LSU rRNA". It matches the Rfam family "Eukaryotic large subunit ribosomal RNA", at positions 71 to 653 of the family's 3401-position model. The record is from RNAcentral. Lineage: Eukaryota; Fungi; Ascomycota; Pichiomycetes; Serinales; Debaryomycetaceae.